GCUCCUAUAGUGUAGUGGUUAUCACUUCGGAUUCUGAUUCCGACAACCCUGGUUCGAAUCCAGGUAGGAGUG
This 72-nucleotide transfer RNA is filed under the name Angomonas deanei. It matches the Rfam family "tRNA". Rfam says of the family: Transfer RNA (tRNA) molecules are approximately 80 nucleotides in length. Their secondary structure includes four short double-helical elements and three loops (D, anti-codon, and T loops). Further hydrogen bonds mediate the characteristic L-shaped molecular structure. tRNAs have two regions of fundamental functional importance: the anti-codon, which is responsible for specific mRNA codon recognition, and the 3' end, to which the tRNAs corresponding amino acid is attached (by aminoacyl-tRNA synthetases). tRNAs cope with the degeneracy of the genetic code in two manners: having more than one tRNA (with a specific anti-codon) for a particular amino acid; and 'wobble' base-pairing, i.e. permitting non-standard base-pairing at the 3rd anti-codon position. Lineage: Eukaryota; Euglenozoa; Kinetoplastea; Trypanosomatida; Trypanosomatidae. The record is from Rfam by way of RNAcentral.